UUAGCUCCCCAAAAUUUUGCCAAUACUCCGUAAAACAAAGCCCUACCUCCCAAAUCAGAUCUCAGAUCCGCUCCUCUCUCUCACUCUCUUACUCUCCGAUCCCUUCUCACCCUCUCACUCAGACGUCGCCAGCCUCCACACUCCCUUCGCACUCUCUCAGAUGUAGCUCCACCGCGAACCUCCUCCACCGCCACAGCCGCCACAGCUGCCACCGCCUCUCCUGCGAAGACGCCGACGCUGCCACCGCUUCUCCUGCGAAGACGCCGACGCUACCACCGCCUCUGCCCCAGCCCUCAUCGUCCAGGUUCGUUUUUUUUUUUUCUUUCCUUUUUUAUAGUUAAUAAUAUGUGUGUUUUAUUGUUGUCUUGACAAGAUUUCUCCAGCCCAGAUGACACACUGCUGGUGCCAUCUCCUCCUCCCCCUAUCUGCAGCUUAUAUACCAGGUUGGUUAGAAGAGAGGCCGGUUGACUCUUGAAGAUGAAGAUGAUGAGCAACCAAAGAAGGUAGGCAUGGGGGUACCUGCUACACAGUGGAUCAGUGCUUACAAUUCUCACAGGCCUAAAAAACAAAGGUAUCACUACAAUGUGUGUGACGCAAGACUUCCCCAACACAUAGAUAAAGGAUACUAAGAUGGCCUGUUUAUAAGCAGUGUAGCAUCUGCCAGUAAUUUGUGGGUGUUAAUCUUGGAUGCUGCUAUUGGCUUUACACAUCAAGUGCAUGAACUUUCUCCUUCCUUUCUUCACAAGUGUCGAUAAUGGAUUCCCAGUCAUCACUUUUGUUUUUCAGAAUUAACUUAAGUUGAUAGUUCAUCCCCAUGAGUAUCUUUUCAAAGUUCAGUAGUUGCAUUACACUUCUUCGGCCCGGGACAAAUAGGGUGAACUCAUUUGAUCCCUUUACUGCCUUCAGUUUAUUCCUCUUUUAUUUCCUUACUUUCCAUAGAAUUGCAUUUCUAUUUUUGUUUAAAGAUAGGUUCUUCACUGAUAUUGAAGUUGCCUGAAAAAGAUGAAGCUUGUUUCUUGAAGCAUCCAAUAGAUGAAGAGUUCGAGAGUUUGUAUAGUAUUCUGAUUAGUAUCACAAACUUGUAUUGUAAUGAAACUACUACUCGGUUUACAAUUGCUAUUUGCAUUUUAAAUUAAAUUCAUAGAGCA
Long non-coding RNA from Ipomoea triloba (trilobed morning glory), 1148 nucleotides. RefSeq lists it as uncharacterized. The transcript is spliced from 5 exons. Lineage: Eukaryota; Viridiplantae; Streptophyta; Magnoliopsida; Solanales; Convolvulaceae. The record is from RefSeq and is a predicted model, not a curated record.